GGAAAGGAGAAGAAUGAAGAGUUGGAUGUGGAGUUUUUCUUGGGAGAAAGCACAGAUCCCCCCACUGAGGUCAUCACCAAUGGUGUUUUGGUGGCUCACCCUUGUCUGUGUGUCCAAGGCACUGUGGAUAAAAGUGAGAAAAGCCAGUGGUUAAUACAGGGUAAGUCUACCUGUGCUUUGUCAUGCCCCAUCCUCUUGAGGGUCUGCAUGCGGAGCAAUAGGGAGGAAUCUACUUC
Molecule: long non-coding RNA, 236 nt
Filed under: Apteryx rowi (Okarito brown kiwi)
Lineage: Eukaryota; Metazoa; Chordata; Aves; Apterygiformes; Apterygidae
Description: lncRNA (ENSARWG00000009283.1)
Source: RNAcentral